CUAUUAGUUUAGUAUAAUAUAAAAGAAGUUGGUGCUUGUUAUUGAAAGCUAAGUGUGUUGUGGAUAGGUUUGCCUGCGUACUGUGCGGAGCAGGCUGGGACGGACGACACAACCAGACGUCAGACACAAGGCACUAGGUUAAAAGGGUGCCAUAAACUGGUGCUUUAUUUAACGUAUUUUCGCAGAACAAGACAGUGACAGGGGCCGUGGUGGGUGCCUGCGUGUGCUGGUGCAAGCUUGGUGCCUGCCGGGAGGUGCCUGCAGUGCCACAAGGGAUAAUAUUGAUACAAAUGUAGAGGGACGAAAUAGGGAAGCAGGAAGACCACCACCAUCACCACCAGCAGUGUGGAAGAAAGUUUAGGCAAGCGAAGAAAGUUGGAAAAUUAAUAAUUAAACGCUUGCUGUCUUUUAUUAUCUUGAGUAUAAAAUGGUUAUAUGACAAUCUCUCUCUCUCUCUCUCUCUCUCUCUCUCUCUCUCUCUCUCUCUCUCUCUCUCUCUCUCUCUCUCUCUCUCUCUCUCUCUCUCUCUCUCACUAAGCUUUGUAUUAGUUACCCGUUGACAGAAGUGACAGCCGCGUUUUCUCUUGUCAGAUGUAAACAAAGCGGUAGUUUCCUUCCAGCUGGUGAUAAAACUCUUUCUCGCUCUUCCUCACUCUCCCACAUGCAGUAGCAACGGCAACCCUCCGAUCCGGCAAGCAAGUUGGCGGCAGCGAUGGCGGUGGCGGCGGCAGUGGUGGUGAGGUGGACGGCAGGGACAGAGGGGCAGUACAGGCUGCGGACAUCAAGGAGAAGAGGAACGCACGGACAAGCAAGGUGUUAUUCGGCAGUCUGAUCCUGGACCUGCUCGGCUUGAAGGUGGUGCUGCCCGUGUCUCCUGCUCUCCUCGACUGUUACUCCAAGCACAACACCAGCGGCUUGUAUUCCUCUCAGCUCUCCUGUGUGACUUAUUACCAGCAUAUCAUCGGUUUCGCUGCGAGGUUCCAUUCUGUCUUGUUUGGUAAUUAAGUGGGUUUGUUGUGUUUUGUAUUGGUUUAUAUAUUUUUAGCUUGUUUUUAUUAUUAUUUUUUCAAUUUUUUUAUCCUAUUAUCUAUUUAUUUAUUUUUUGUUUGUUUGUUUGUUUACAGGGUGUGUGUGUGUUUGUUUGUGUUCCUGCUGUUCAAUAUUGCAGCUUGUUUUCUUUAUUAUUGUUAUUUUGUGUUUUAUUCUAUUUCAGUGUUCUGAGGGAGUCUUCAGGUGUUUUUGGGGUGUUUUUGGGUGUUUUUGGAGUGUUUUGGGGUGUUUUUGGUGUGUUGUGAAGUGUUUUGAUGUGUUUUGGGGUGAUUAAGGGGUGUUUUGAAGUGUUUUGUGGUGUUGUGGAGGUGUUUUGGGAUUUUUGGUGUGUUUUAAAGUGUUUUGGGAUGUUUUUGGAAUGUUUUGAUGUGUUUUGAGAUGUUUAGGAGUAUUUUUGGAGUAUUUUGGUGUGUUUUUGGAGUGUUUUGGGAUGUGUUUGUAGUGUUUUGGGGUGUUUUGGGAUAUAUUGAAGGUGUUUUGGUGUGUUUUUGGAGUGUUUUGGGGUAUUUUGGGAUGUUUUGGUGUGUUUUGGGUUAUUUUGAGAGUGUUUUGGUGUGUUUUUGGAGUGUUUCUGGGUGUUUUGGAGUAUUUUGAGGGUGUUUAAAGGUGUUGUGGUAGUUUAAAAUAUAUUGUUAGUUUACUUUUUUUUAACUUUUUAUUUUCUUAUGCAUUAUUUUAUUUCUUAUUUAUAUUGUGGUGUGUUGUCGGUGUGUCCUAACCUAACCUAACCAGCCUACCCUCUCCUAACCUCCCCUCAACCCACAGGCACUGAUUGGCGUGACAUUCAGCAUAGGCUUCACCGUCGGGCACACUGUGGGGGCUGCUUUCUCCCGCUGGGGAAGUACUGGGUGGUUCGCGGCCUCGGCUGUCUACGCACGCACUCUCACUGUGGCUAACAUAAUAUUCUUUGCUGUCUUCUUCCAGGAAUCGCUGCCUGAGGGCAGAAGGAGGAGGGACAUCGGUGCCAGUUUGACCGAGGCUUGGGAGGUGAUCAAUCCUAGGGCUCUGUUCUCUGUCAGCUGUGUCAAGGGCCUGGGCAGAGAAGCCUGGAGUUAACGCUGAUCUUCGCGACCCACCACAAGCAUAGUUACGACUCGUUGGCGCAGGACCGCAAGUUUUCCUUCCUGGGCCUGGUCAUGGCAAUUACACAGAGAGGGUUUAUGCGAAGUGUUAAGACUGGAACUGAAAAAGCAACUGCCAAUUAGGCACACACCUACAUUGUGAUGCAGCUCCUUGGAGGUGGAGAGCUGGCUGCCUCAGAGGAUCAGGAAACACGAGAGGUUCACAGAGGCUCGCCUCGGGCUUCGGUCGUCGUGAGGAACCUGGUGUCAGCAGUUCACUACGUGCACAGGAAAAGCAUCAGUGUUCACGGAGACCUAAAGCCAGACAGGGGUGAAAAGGGUUGGUGUUGAGGAUAGACAGAAAAGAAAAGAAAAGAAAUUAAAGGUAAAAAAAGGAAGUUUUUUUGCAUUGAUUUUCCAUCUGCUUAUUUUAAAGAAUUUAUUGCAUGGAAUAUUAUUGAUCUCCAUCAUUUGUAUGGCCUUUAUAAUAAAAAGUAUGAAUUUA
Scylla paramamosain (green mud crab) is the source of this 2616-nucleotide long non-coding RNA. RefSeq lists it as uncharacterized. NCBI's taxonomy places the organism in Eukaryota, Metazoa, Arthropoda, Malacostraca, Decapoda, Portunidae. The record is from RefSeq and is a predicted model, not a curated record. The transcript has 7 exons.